UACGUAGGUGACAAGCGUUAUCCGGAUUUAUUGGGCGUAAAGCGCACGCAGGCGGUCUAUCAAGUCUGACGUGGAAAUCUCUCGGCUUAACCGGGAGCGGUCGUUGGAAACUGAUGGACUUGAGGCGAUGAGAGGGGUGUGGAAUUCCCGGUGUAGUGGUGGAAUGCGUAGAUAUCGGGAGGAACAUCAGUGGCGAAAGCGGCACCCUGGCAUUAGCCUGACGCUCAUGUGCGAAAGCGUGGGGAGCGAAUGGG
Molecule: ribosomal RNA, 254 nt
Filed under: uncultured bacterium
Lineage: Bacteria
Description: partial 16S ribosomal RNA
Rfam family: Bacterial small subunit ribosomal RNA
Source: RNAcentral